Small nuclear RNA from Lupinus angustifolius (narrow-leaved blue lupine), 161 nucleotides. It matches the Rfam family "U1 spliceosomal RNA". From Rfam's summary of the family: U1 is a small nuclear RNA (snRNA) component of the spliceosome (involved in pre-mRNA splicing). NCBI's taxonomy places the organism in Eukaryota, Viridiplantae, Streptophyta, Magnoliopsida, Fabales, Fabaceae. The record is from Rfam.
AUACUUACCUCGAUGGGGUCAAUGGGUGAUCAAGAAGGCCCAUGGCCUAGGGUAGUGACCUCCAUUGCACUUAGGAGGGGUGCUAUCCUAAGGUCUACCGAUAUGGUCGAGCCUACGUUGUAAUUUGUGGUAGUGGGGGCAUGCGUUCGCGCAACCCCUAU